RNAcentral lists this ribosomal RNA (253 nucleotides) under uncultured bacterium. Its description in RNAcentral is "partial 16S ribosomal RNA". It matches the Rfam family "Bacterial small subunit ribosomal RNA", at positions 524 to 776 of the family's 1533-position model. The record is from RNAcentral.
UACGUAGGGGGCUAGCGUUGUCCGGAUUUAUUGGGCGUAAAGAGCGCGUAGGCGGCCGAGUAAGUCCGACGUGAAAUCUGGAGGCUCAACCUCCAGCGGUCGUUGGAAACUACUCGGCUAGAGUCCGGAAGAGGAGAGUGGAAUUCCUGGUGUAGCGGUGAAAUGCGCAGAUAUCAAGAGGAACACCUGAGGUGAAGACGGGUUGCUGGGCCAACACUGACGCUGAGGCGCGAAAGCCAGGGGAGCAAACGGG